RNAcentral lists this ribosomal RNA (647 nucleotides) under Hohenbuehelia sp. RGT 010810/02. RNAcentral's name for it is "eukaryotic LSU rRNA". It matches the Rfam family "Eukaryotic large subunit ribosomal RNA", at positions 1 to 657 of the family's 3401-position model. Lineage: Eukaryota; Fungi; Basidiomycota; Agaricomycetes; Agaricales; Pleurotaceae. The record is from RNAcentral.
CAAAUCAGGUAGGACUACCCGCUGAACUUAAGCAUAUCAAUAAGCGGAGGAAAAGAAACUAACAAGGAUUCCCCUAGUAACUGCGAGUGAAGCGGGAAAAGCUCAAAUUUGUAAUCUGGCGGUCUUGGGCCGUCCGAAUUGUAAACUAGAGAAGCGUUAUCCGCGCUGGACCGUGUACAAGUCCCCUGGAAUGGGGCGUCAUAGAGGGUGAGAAUCCCGUCUUUGACACGGACUACCAGGGCUUUGUGAUGCGCUCUCAAAGAGUCGAGUUGUUUGGGAAUGCAGCUCAAAAUGGGUGGUAAAUUCCAUCUAAAGCUAAAUAUUGGCGAGAGACCGAUAGCGAACAAGUACCGUGAGGGAAAGAUGAAAAGAACUUUGGAAAGAGAGUUAAACAGUACGUGAAAUUGCUGAAAGGGAAACGCUUGAAGUCAGUCGCGUUGGCUAGGGAUCAGCCUUACUUUGGUGGGGUGUAUUUCCUUGUCGACGGGUCAGCAUCAGUUUUGGCUGCUGGAUAAAGGCUUUGGGAAUGUGGCACCUCCGGGUGUGUUAUAGCCCUUGGUCAGAUACAGUGGCUGGGACUGAGGAACUCAGCACGCGCAAGUUGUGCUUAGGAUGCUGUCAAAAUGGCUUUAAUCGACCCGUCUUGA